This is a long non-coding RNA of Mus caroli (Ryukyu mouse), 651 nucleotides long. RefSeq lists it as uncharacterized. NCBI's taxonomy places the organism in Eukaryota, Metazoa, Chordata, Mammalia, Rodentia, Muridae. The record is from RefSeq and is a predicted model, not a curated record.
UCUCUUCUGGGUGGGCCACCCCAAGAGCUCACACCUGCCAAAGAUUUUUCUCUUUACCACCCACCCUUCAUCCUCUCUGCUUCAAGGCCACUUGCAUUAUUUAAGAGGCAAACCCAACAAGCUAAGAAGUAACGAUGAAUAAGGAAGCUGGCCUGUCCAUCUCUGCCAAGUCUAUCAGAUGAAAAGACAGCAGACAAGACUGUCAGACAUCUCUUAAACAGCACUAAAAGUUCCUGUGCCUGCGCCCGGAAAAGCAGCUUGCGUAACAGAAAGUAGGGACUGGGAAGUUUCUGUCUGAUGACUGAAACCAGUGGCGAUCCAUGCAAGGGACAGUGAAGAGAUGCAGUGGAGCGGAGACAGGAUCCACACGCAACUGAAGUCUUCGACACAUCCUAAGUUAAAACGACGUUAAAAUAACAGUAAAAAGUGUGAGGUUAGCCAUCAGAAUGUCCUGCUGUUACUCACCGGGCACUUACUUAAGGCACUGUAGAGAAUGUACCUUUCUAGAGGCAUACGGGGAAGAACUGCUUUUGCAGGUGACUCCAACGCCCGGCCAGAACCAUCAACACUCACAGGCCGGUACAGGAGCACAGGGAGGACUCAAGAGGUCUCGCAAUAUCCUGCUGUUCUUACCUCCCCGUGUCCAUUUGG